This 71-nucleotide transfer RNA is filed under the name Strophurus intermedius (Southern spiny-tailed gecko). RNAcentral's name for it is "tRNA-Met". Lineage: Eukaryota; Metazoa; Chordata; Lepidosauria; Squamata; Diplodactylidae. RNAcentral also lists the same sequence under 1 other name. The record is from RNAcentral.
AGUAAAGUCAGCUAAUUAAGCUUUCGGGCCCAUACCCCGAAAAUCUUGGUAUCCCAAUCCUUCCUGUACUA